This 74-nucleotide transfer RNA is filed under the name Fusarium oxysporum f. sp. melonis 26406. RNAcentral's name for it is "tRNA-Gln (TTG) (tRNA-Gln-TTG-4-1)". It matches the Rfam family "tRNA". Rfam says of the family: Transfer RNA (tRNA) molecules are approximately 80 nucleotides in length. Their secondary structure includes four short double-helical elements and three loops (D, anti-codon, and T loops). Further hydrogen bonds mediate the characteristic L-shaped molecular structure. tRNAs have two regions of fundamental functional importance: the anti-codon, which is responsible for specific mRNA codon recognition, and the 3' end, to which the tRNAs corresponding amino acid is attached (by aminoacyl-tRNA synthetases). tRNAs cope with the degeneracy of the genetic code in two manners: having more than one tRNA (with a specific anti-codon) for a particular amino acid; and 'wobble' base-pairing, i.e. permitting non-standard base-pairing at the 3rd anti-codon position. Lineage: Eukaryota; Fungi; Ascomycota; Sordariomycetes; Hypocreales; Nectriaceae. The record is from RNAcentral.
CCCUGGUUGGUGCAAUCGGUUAGCACAUCGUUCGUUGAUGUCGAAGGCUGUAGGUUCAAGCCCUGCACUGGGGG